CCCUUAGAUGUUCUGGGCCGCACGCGCGCUACACUGACGGAGGCAGCGAGCAUGUCCUUCGCCGAGAGGUGUGGGGAAUCUUGUGAGUCUCCGUCGUGCUGGGGAUAGAUGGUUGCAAUUGUCGAUCUUGAACGAGGAAUUCCUAGUAAGCGCGAGUCAUCAGCUCGCGCUGAUUACGUCCCUGCCCUUUGUAUACACCGCCCGUCGCUACUACCGAUUGGAUGGUUUAGCGAGAACUUUGGACCGGGGCUCGGGUGGUCAGCAAUGGCCGCCCGAGACAUACUGGGAAAUCGCUCCAGCUUGAUCAUCUAGAGGAAGUAAAAGUCGUAACA
Molecule: ribosomal RNA, 332 nt
Filed under: uncultured eukaryote
Lineage: Eukaryota
Description: partial 18S ribosomal RNA
Rfam family: Eukaryotic small subunit ribosomal RNA
Source: RNAcentral